CGUCUGCUUUUCAAGUGUCGUUUUGCUUUUCAAAAAUUACACGAAGUUUAAGAUUACGUGAGAUUACUAACAAAAAGGAAUAUGAUAACGUUCGAAUUCAGCUAAAGGUUUAAAAGCUGAAGUAAAAGAGCCAAAUCGAAGUUGAAAGAUGUCUCGGUUGCCCUCGUAAUUUUCAAGGAUGAAGAAGUUAUUAAAGAAGUUGAAAAAUGAAAACACACGUACGGACAUACAGUCAACACUAGUACAAUGUUGAACUUGCGGAAACAAAUCAAUGUGUCUUCAUAAUUUAAAAUAAAAAAAUUGGUCACAGGAA
Molecule: long non-coding RNA, 313 nt
Organism: Daphnia pulex (common water flea)
Lineage: Eukaryota; Metazoa; Arthropoda; Branchiopoda; Diplostraca; Daphniidae
Exons: 3
Source: RefSeq, a predicted model, not a curated record